GCCCAGUCAGUCUCUCUCUCUCUCCCUCUCUCUCUCUCUCUCUCUCUCUCUCUCUCACACACACACACACACAGAGAGAGAGAGAGAGAGAGAGAGAGAGAGAGAGAGAGCAGUUGGCCAG
Podarcis lilfordi (Lilford's wall lizard) is the source of this 121-nucleotide non-coding RNA. The record is from the annotation of a GenBank genome assembly. Lineage: Eukaryota; Metazoa; Chordata; Lepidosauria; Squamata; Lacertidae.